CUGAAUCACAGCCCUCUGAGAUUUAGAAAAGCGCAAAUACUAACUCUAAAGCCUAGUAGGUGAAAGGAUGAAGGCUACUGGUAUAUUAACAUGCCUUCCUUUCUCGGAUUCCUGGAGAAUGUCUCCAGGCUUUCCAAAGGCAGUAUAUCUGACAUCUGCAGUUAAAUGGAUGGUAAUCACCAAAAGUUGGAAUGUGGACACAAUGGUAAUAGGGAAUGAUAGUUUUCUACUUGUUUUAAUCAAGAUAGCACAGAUGGCUAAAGAGAAAAGCUGGAGGACAUGCUGGCUCUUCUCCAUUUGCCCUUCCAGACCCACACUUCCGUUUCUGCUCUGCCCUGGAAGGUGGACCUGAAUAGGUCCCAUCAGCACACCCAUUCCAUGAAGCUGUUGGUUUUGAGAAACCAAUACACACGUCUCUCACCAGUAAAACCUGACAAGGAGAGUGAAGGUCAAGCACUUCAAGGCAAUUGGCAUGUCACUGACGUCAGUAAAGGAAGGCUAAUUGCUGAGAAGAUGAUUCAUGUUGUUUUGAAUGAAAAAGAAAUGGAUUUCUCUGUACCUUUCCCAUCUCUCUAUGUCCCAAUCCUGUGCCCAUGAGAUAUUUUUCCAGAAGAUCCUCUGAGAUCUAUAGACAUUCUGAUUGCAUUUACUUAUUAAACUGGAAGAAGCUUUAGAAAUCAUCCAGACUGAUUCCCUCACUAAAUGGAAGAAGACACAGACACAGAUAGGGCACUCAGUAACCUAAUGUCACACAGUGACUUACCAAUCAGUAAGGCUCUAGUCUUCUGAUUUCCAGACUUGAAUUCUUUGUCACUCAGUACUACUCCCUCAACCAAUGAUUUGACCGAUAAGACUACCUAGAUGGAGGAUAGGUGAGAAAGAUCACUUACUGAUCACCUACCAUAUGAUAGUCAUUGUGCAUUUAACCUUCAUUGAGCAUUAUAACUACAUUAAAAGCUGAAAUUAUCUUAAUUUUAUAGAUAAGGGACUUAAGGGCCAGAAAUUUUAAGUGAUUUGUCUAUAUGCACUGAGCAGGAAAGUGGCAGAACCUAGUUUUAAAACUGAAUCACCCCAAUUCCAGAGCUCAUGUCUAUUCCAGUAAUGACAUAUCCAUAGCUGAACCUUGGUCUUUCUUCUCUCCUCUUCCAUCCCUCCUCUCUUCUUCAGUCUCUGUCUCAGUGUGUGUGUCUUCCCCUUUCUCCCUGCCCUCCUUUCUCUCUCCCAGUAAAUGGAACCACCAUCUACACAAUGGUUCAAACCAGUAGCUCCCUCUUUCAAAUCCCACCUAUUCAAGCUUCAAGUUCUGUACAUGUUACCUCCUAAAAAUCCAACUACUCUCUCCCCGUUGUCAUGACCCUUAAUCAUGGCAUCUCCAGAUGCCACCUGGACCAUUGUAGAAGACUUCUAAUUCACCUCUCCAUCUCUAUUCUCCACACUGGAGCUCAGGGACCUUUUUAUUUGACCAUAUCACUUCUCUACCUAAAACUCAGUGAUGGCUUCCCAUUGACAUGGGGACAAACCACAAAUCCCUCGUAGUGUUCAUGAACCCUUCUCAGGGCUGGUGUCUCUGUUCCCCUGUUAGGACCCCUCUCUCUCC
Molecule: long non-coding RNA, 1597 nt
Filed under: Vulpes vulpes (red fox)
Lineage: Eukaryota; Metazoa; Chordata; Mammalia; Carnivora; Canidae
Description: lncRNA (ENSVVUG00000026646.1)
Source: RNAcentral